Nomascus leucogenys (northern white-cheeked gibbon) is the source of this 95-nucleotide unclassified non-coding RNA. It matches the Rfam family "Y RNA". Rfam says of the family: Y RNAs are components of the Ro ribonucleoprotein particle (Ro RNP), in association with Ro60 and La proteins. The record is from Ensembl. Lineage: Eukaryota; Metazoa; Chordata; Mammalia; Primates; Hylobatidae.
GGUUAGUUCAAGUGCAGUGGCAUUUACAACUAACUGGUCACAAGCAUGUACAGAUUUCUUUCUCUAUUCCCACUGCUUCACUUGACUAGCCAAAA